This 72-nucleotide transfer RNA is filed under the name Paracellulophaga baltica. Its description in RNAcentral is "Cellulophaga baltica tRNA-Gln". It matches the Rfam family "tRNA". From Rfam's summary of the family: Transfer RNA (tRNA) molecules are approximately 80 nucleotides in length. Their secondary structure includes four short double-helical elements and three loops (D, anti-codon, and T loops). Further hydrogen bonds mediate the characteristic L-shaped molecular structure. tRNAs have two regions of fundamental functional importance: the anti-codon, which is responsible for specific mRNA codon recognition, and the 3' end, to which the tRNAs corresponding amino acid is attached (by aminoacyl-tRNA synthetases). tRNAs cope with the degeneracy of the genetic code in two manners: having more than one tRNA (with a specific anti-codon) for a particular amino acid; and 'wobble' base-pairing, i.e. permitting non-standard base-pairing at the 3rd anti-codon position. The record is from RNAcentral. RNAcentral also lists the same sequence under 1 other name. Lineage: Bacteria; Pseudomonadati; Bacteroidota; Flavobacteriia; Flavobacteriales; Flavobacteriaceae.
UGGUCCAUGGUGUAAUUGGUAACACACCGGUUUUUGGUACCGACAUUCAAGGUUCGAGUCCUUGUGGACCAA